CCCCUGCGAUCCGAACUGUCGCCGUAUGGUUGGCGUUCCUGGUUCCGCCAGGAUAGGACGCGGGUGCGCA
RNAcentral lists this non-coding RNA (70 nucleotides) under unclassified sequences. RNAcentral describes it as "DUF3800-IX RNA". It matches the Rfam family "DUF3800-IX RNA". Rfam says of the family: Actinobacteria, Firmicutes (1 example), Nitrospirae, Proteobacteria, Verrucomicrobia (1 example). Nearby to DUF3800 The record is from Rfam by way of RNAcentral.